Molecule: long non-coding RNA, 5156 nt
Organism: Ictalurus punctatus (channel catfish)
Lineage: Eukaryota; Metazoa; Chordata; Actinopteri; Siluriformes; Ictaluridae
Source: Ensembl
CAUAGCAACGGGAGAAGGAGAACGACAUCUGGACACAACAGCUGUUUGAUCUCCGGCACCUUCUCCUAUCUACCAUGAGUGGCUGUAACCACGGCAACCGAGAGAAAGCGAUAGGGAAAGAGAGAGUGAGAGAGAUGGAGAGAAAGAGAGAGUGAGAGACAAAGAGGGACAGAAAGCAACAGAGUGAGAAAGAUGGAGAGAGAGAGACCAAGAGAUAGACAGAGAGAGAGAGAGAGAGAGAGAGAGAAAGAGAAACAGAAAGAUAAAGAGAGAGACUGAAAGUCAGAGAGCAAGAGACAGAUAGAGCGGAAGAGAGAAAGAAAGAUAGUUACAGUGAUGUUUCCAUGGACUACAUUAAUAAAUAAACAUUAUAUAUUAAUAUAUACAGAAUUCAUGUGCACACGUGUGUGUGUAUGUCUGUGUGUGUAUGUGUGUGUGUAUAGGUGUGUAUGUGUGUGUAUAUGUGUAUAGGUGAGACUGUAUGUGUGUGUGUGUGUAUAGGUGUGUCUGUAUGUCUGUAUAUGUGUAUAAGUCUGUCUGUAUGUCUGUGUGUGUAUGUGUGUGUGUCUAUGUGCAAAGGUGUGACUGUAUGUGUGUGUGUGUGUUUGUAUGUGUAUAGGUGUCUUCAAGUGUGUGUAUGUGUGCAUAUGUGUGUGUGUAUAGGUGUGUCUGUAUGUUUGUGUGUGUGUAUAUGUGUAUAGGUGUGACUGUAUGUGUGUGUGUGUGUAUAUGUGUAUAGGUGUGACUGUAUGUGUGUGUGUCUGUAUGUGUAUAAGUGUCUUUAAGUGUGUGUAUGUGUGCAUGUGUGUGUGUAUAGGGGUGUGUGCGUGUGUGUGUGUGUGUGUGUGAGUGUGUAUGUGUAUAGGUGUCUUUAAGUGUGUGUAUGUGUGCAUAUGUGUGUGUAUGGGGUGUGUGCAUGUGUGUGUGUCUUUAAGUGUGUGUAUGUGUGCAUAUCUGUGUGUGUGUGUGUGUGUAUAUGUGUGUAUAUGUGUGCAUAUGUCUCUCUGUCUGUCUGUCUGUCUGUCUGUCUGUCUGUCUCCCGUUAUUUAAACCUGUUCACGUCACUAACCCACAGUAUUAAUGGUGACACCACAGUGCUGCCGAAUUCUCUAUUCUGAUUGGUCAGGAGGUGUUGAUUCAUUUUCAGCAGCUCUGACAGUAGCGCAGCUGCGUUUCUAUAGUAACAGCUCAUUCACAAGUACUUAAAAAGAAUCACUGAUAUGGUGGUUUUCUUUUUGUUAUUUCUAUAGAACAUGGAAGGAGUCUCCAGUGUCAGCGCUUUGUAACAGUCAGAGGUAAAACUGUAAAUUUAGGUUUUACUAAUUUUUCGCCUCGCGAAACCUUUUCCGGUUUCUCGGAAACGCGACGAGCUGCGUUUAUUUAUUUAUUUAUUUAUUUGGCUUAUUAAACUGAAGAGAGAGAAUAAAGAGAGAGAGGGAGUAAAGAGAGAGAAUAAAGACAGGGAUGGUGAGGGAACGAGUGUUUAUAGCUGCUCUAACGCAAGUGACAACAGGUUUCACAGAACAUUCAGCGCACUUAUAAUCGGAUAAAAGUUAUGACAUUUCCGUUUGAUAAUAAAUAAAACAUUUCCGAUUCCGUUUACUUUUAGCCGUUAUCCUAAUUUCACUAAAAGAACAGUUCCUUGUUCUCUUUCCGCAUCUUAAUCUUUAGAAAAUGACACCAGUAGAAACCGUUAGAAAUGUUACGUUUUUAGGACGUUUCAAUUUAAAUUUUACCCUAAUUUUUAUUUCAAUGGUAAUCAUGUACCUUCUGGCAGUUCUUAACAGUAACCAUAGAAACCUGUAGCUAAAUAAGACAAUUCCUAUUACCGUGAUGGAAACCGCUGGAUGUUCUUAACGGCUGGUUUGUUACGCGGGUCUUGAAAGAAGGAAACGGUUCACCGUGAACACGUUACCUAGCGCGAUGUGAGCGCUACGACGGAACGAAGGAAUCGCAACAAUGUUUCAGAGCGGUUAAACGGUGUAGCCGUUUCGCGUGAAGUUCAUUUCGGAGUUUACGUUGCGAGUCUCUGUGCAGACGUAGCACGUCAUUUCCAGUCGCUGUUCUUGUGUUUUAGUUCCGCACACAUCUAUCUAAACGCUAUCUAUAGCUAUAAUAUAAUCACGUUUCUUUUAACGGCCAAUGCUACGCGUACGUAAAGUGUCGUUUAAGUCGUACAGAAUGUUUUCUUCUUCGACACACCUGAGAGAAAUGUUGAUAUUUCCAAUAUUGUGGUUUAGUUUACGCUACACGGAUUGGCACCGUGUCCAGGGUGUACCCCGCCUUGUGCCCGGUGCUCCCUGGGAGAGGCUCCAGGUUCCCCCGUGACCCGGAAGGAAGGAUAAGCGGUAUAGAAGAUGGAUGGAUGGAUGGAUAGUUUACGCUACAUCAUUAAACUCGCUAGCUCAUUUAUUAACUAGCCUCCAUUCUUGGAGGCCAGCUUUCCCUGUCGCCUAGCAACAGUGUUCACAUGACUUUACCCACUUAAAGAAUGAAUUUAUGAAGUUAUGCUUCAAUACAGGAUUACAGCCGGGUUUUUUUCUUCUUAACAGACUCUUCCGAAUAAAACCGAAGGACGUUUGGAGAAAUUAGGUUUAUUUCAUAUUUAUUCUCAGCGAUUAUGAUGAAAAGCGCUUCACAGAAAAAGACACGAAGGAAUUUCCGACAUUCUCCAGUCUUAAAAAGCUUCACUGAAAGUUCCUGGUACGACCGUGUGUGUACGUGAACCUUUUACUGUUCGUAAACAUCUACAUGUUUUGUAUCUCCAUGCUCCCAUGCUCUGGGUUAAAUAAAAUAAAUAAAACGGGGCAUUCUAUUCAAACCCAGCUGAAGCUUAAAACAAAUUCAAUGGCUGUUUGAAAGCACGUUAUUCGGGAAGUUUAGUCUAAUACUUGCGAACCACGUACAGAAACACCUGAGGCGUUAUAAACCGGGACGGCUGUUGCUAUGGUUACAUCUCAAAGGACGUUAUCUCGUUCUUUUAUGGUUGCUUUUAAUGAGAGAGAGAAAUAUUUUCUGCACAAUUAAUAUCAGUUUAAUUGUGAUUAGUGAUGCGCGAAUACCAAACAAACAAUUAUUAAGGACUGUUGCCAUGGUGACAUGAUAGAGCUACGUGAAACGCCGCCCAUCACGUUCAAUUGUGCAGCCAUGAUGUAAUUUUAUCCCACAUCUAUCUCUCUGUGACUUCCGAAUCAGGAAAUGGCAUCCGAAGUGACUGAACUGCUCUUCCUGUGGUGUUUGCUAUUACUAUCUCUUUAAACUUCAGAUUAAUUAUGUUAAUAUCAAUACAGCCUUAUUUCUUUAUUUUUUUAUCUUAGUGAUGCACCCAUGCUCUGAUUGGAAUAAAACAUGACACUCGUCGCAAAAAUUCGGCCGGAAAUGAAGCUUAGUGUAAGUAAGCGUCGCGCGUUCACAAUCAGGUUAUUUGGGAAAUUUAGCCUGUUACUUAUCGAACACCUGAGGAAGUGUAACUGGGGCUCAUUAGACUGUUUUAAAUCCAGAGUAGGGUCCAAUCAGGGUCACGGGGAAAAAAAAAGUAUUUACCCCCCUACACAUCAGCGCCGCACACAGCCGAGUGGAACCACGCGUAUGAAAUUACACCAUGGCUACGUUUCUGAUUGGCUGCGUUGCGCGCGUUAUUACCUUCUAUCGACACGCCUUCAAUGUAAAUGUACACAAGUCAUAAAUCUACACUCACUACACGCCUUUUCUAACCACUUUACAACGUAUCCAUGACGACAUCCUACUGAAAAAACAAACAACACAAACCAUCAUAGAAUUUUUAAUGGUUAUAAUGGAAACUGUAAUGGUCCCUGUGGGUCUCUACUGGUAAUUUGUUGCCUUCUAGUGCUUAUGUCUAGGGUUGGAUACCAUUAAGGAUCAAUAACGGUAACGGUUUUAAUAGGCUAGCUAUUAAAUGAUGGUUUGUAGUGGUAUUUGUAGUGGAACCCAUUAGAAUUUCUGUGACGGUGACUAUUGUUUUUUUUUUUUUUUCUUUUCAGCAGGGCUACGUGAAAAAUAACGUGCUAGGCUAGGCGUGAAUCCGGGCUCCGCUAUGGAUUUUAAAACCGCGAUAUAACAGUGCACGUUGAGAUGUUGCCAUGGCAACAGUCGUAUAAAAGGUAGCCGAACGACGUAGACGUGGAAACGGUAGCCAAACGGUACGGGUGGCAAUUUUUAUUUUAUUCCGCUAAAACGCGGACGGAAGGUAAAAAUCAGGGGCGUUAACCUCGCUCUGUUCUGUCAACAGACUCGAUUUGUUCGGUGGAGUGAAUUUAAUACACGCGAGACUGUGUAUUUACGUAACAACUACGCUUUUUAAAAUCACAUUGUCCUUGCCUCAAGGUCCGGCGCUCAAGUGAAAAAGAAUAAAACUAAAUUAAAAAGCUUAUUACAUGCUGAGAGACCGUGUGUGUGUGUGUGUGUGUGUGUGUGUGGGAGAGAGAGAGAGAGAAAUCAACAUUAUCCAAACCUACUGGUGCCUGAAAGUAAAUUCUGUAUGUUAAACACUCGCUAUCUCAGAUCGACAGAAGGUCCUUCUUCGUGUACAGUUGUUCGGGGGUUUUUUCGUGUAUUUUUUCCCUCGCUGAAAUCGAGCCAGCAAUCACAAGAACAUCUGUUGAGGAAGAAGAUAAUGGCCAUGGAAGGCUGCUUGCUUUUACAUUCUGUUUGCCGUGUGUGUAGAUUUAGCGUUGUGUGUGUGUGUGUGUGUGUGUGUGUUUUAUCAAAAAGUGCACACGUCGUGUUUUAUAAAGCGAAUAACGCGAGUCCUGCCCGGGUGUUUUUUCUGAGGUUUUUUUUCCCCUCCAGAAGUUGACGGUGGACUUUGAGCAACAGUAACCAAGCUGCAUGUAAUUGCAUCUCAUUACAUUAAUCCCGCUUGUUUGAACACCUGCUCUAAAAGGAUUUCCGAGCGCCGCGCACGCUCGAACGUUCGGGAUGCCGUUUCGGCAAAUGUGGGGGAUUUUUUUUUGUCCCCCUUUUUUUCCCCCCUUUCGUCGCACGAAAAUGUGUAAAAACAUGAAGCUGUCACCGCCGCCUGAUGAGGAAAAUGACCAAACCAGCUGCGCUAAUAAUCAUCCAGCUCGGCUAAUCCUUCACCUUUAUCUGUUAUCUGUAGCAUGCUGACAUACGCACGCUAGCUGUGUUGAGCUUAC